AUACGUAGGUGACAAGCGUUAUCCGGAUUUACUGGGCGUAAAGGGCGUGUAGGCGGUCUUGCAAGUCAGAAGUGAAAUUCCUGAGCUCAACUCGGGCGCUGCUUCUGAAACUGCAGGACUUGAGUGCUGGAGGGGAUAGCGGAAUUCCUAGUGGAGCGGUAAAAUGCGCAGAUAUUAGGAAGAACACCGGUGGCGAAGGCGGCUAUCUUGACAGUAACUGACACUGAGGCACGAAAGCGUGGGGAGCAAACAUGAUUAGAUACCCUGGUAGUCCGCGAAGUAAACGAUGCGCACCAGGUGUCGGGCGGCAGCGCCCGGUACCGGAGCAAACGCGAUUAGUGCGCCGCCUUGGGAGUAUGCCCGCAAGGGUGAAACUCAAAGGAAUUGACGGGG
Molecule: ribosomal RNA, 393 nt
Filed under: uncultured bacterium
Lineage: Bacteria
Description: partial 16S ribosomal RNA
Rfam family: Bacterial small subunit ribosomal RNA
Source: RNAcentral